This 90-nucleotide transfer RNA is filed under the name Vitreimonas silvestris. RNAcentral's name for it is "Caulobacteraceae bacterium 0127_4 tRNA-Ser". It matches the Rfam family "tRNA". Rfam says of the family: Transfer RNA (tRNA) molecules are approximately 80 nucleotides in length. Their secondary structure includes four short double-helical elements and three loops (D, anti-codon, and T loops). Further hydrogen bonds mediate the characteristic L-shaped molecular structure. tRNAs have two regions of fundamental functional importance: the anti-codon, which is responsible for specific mRNA codon recognition, and the 3' end, to which the tRNAs corresponding amino acid is attached (by aminoacyl-tRNA synthetases). tRNAs cope with the degeneracy of the genetic code in two manners: having more than one tRNA (with a specific anti-codon) for a particular amino acid; and 'wobble' base-pairing, i.e. permitting non-standard base-pairing at the 3rd anti-codon position. Lineage: Bacteria; Pseudomonadati; Pseudomonadota; Alphaproteobacteria; Hyphomonadales; Hyphomonadaceae. The record is from RNAcentral.
GGACAGGUGGCCGAGUGGCUGAAGGCGCACGCUUGGAAAGCGUGUUUAGGUGAAAGCCUAACCAGGGUUCGAAUCCCUGUCUGUCCGCCA